UGUGGUGAUGAUGGCUUGAAGGAUACACCUGUUCCCAUGCCGAACACAGAAGUUAAGCUUCAACACGCCAAAAGUAGUUGGGGGAUCGCUCC
Molecule: ribosomal RNA, 92 nt
Filed under: Limosilactobacillus portuensis
Lineage: Bacteria; Bacillati; Bacillota; Bacilli; Lactobacillales; Lactobacillaceae
Source: RNAcentral